GCACCACAAGAACGCGUGGAGCAUGUGGCUUAAUUUGACUCAACGCGGGAAAUCUUACCGGGUCCGGACACACUGAGGAUUGACAGGCAAUGUCUUGGCUGUUUAAUAACCGUUUAUUAAUAAACGGUUUAUUAAACAGAUCGAGUGUUAAAUAUGCUAGUCCUUUCAUGAUUAUGUGAUAGGUGGUGCAUGGCCGUUCUUAGUUCGUGGAGUGAUCUGUCUGCUUAAUUGCGUUUCACUAAGGGCCCAUAAAUUCAAGGUAUGUUAGCAAUCGUCGCUCUAUGGACCCCUUAUUUCAGUUUAUUAAUAAACUGUUAUAAGCGCGCGUCUUGUUUAAAGAGUUUAAGACACUGCGCAUGCUGUUGGGCUCUGAAAGCAACGAACGUGACCGCAACGUCUUGUUGCCUUAAUCAAGUCGGCUGUUUAAUCUGUUUAAUUAAACAGAUAGCAGUCAUUAUGGCUUAUCCGAGGCUAUUUAAAACUAGACGAACCGCUGUUUCUUUUCUUAAACCAGAGGAAGGUUGCGGCAAUAACAGGUCUGUGAUG
This 546-nucleotide ribosomal RNA is filed under the name Neogloboquadrina pachyderma. Its description in RNAcentral is "SSU rRNA". It matches the Rfam family "Eukaryotic small subunit ribosomal RNA", at positions 1164 to 1469 of the family's 1831-position model. Lineage: Eukaryota; Foraminifera; Rotaliida; Globorotaliidae. The record is from RNAcentral.